ACGUACGCUGGCGGCACGCCUAACACAUGCAAGUCGAACGAAGUAGCAAUACUUAGUGGCAGACGAGUGAGUAACAUGUGGGUAUCUACCCUUUGGCCUGGAAUAACACGAGGAAACUUGUGCUAAUACCGGAUAAGUCUUUACGGAGAAAGCUUUAUGCACCAUUGGAUUAGCCCGCGUUAGAUUAGAUAGUUGGUGGGGUAAUGGCCUACCAAGUCUACGAUCUAUAGCUGGUUUGAGAGGAUGAUCAGCAACACUGGGACUGAGACACGGCCCAGACUCCUACGGGAGGCAGCAGUGGGGAAUCUUAG
RNAcentral lists this ribosomal RNA (311 nucleotides) under uncultured Pelagibacterales bacterium. RNAcentral's name for it is "SSU rRNA". It matches the Rfam family "Bacterial small subunit ribosomal RNA", at positions 29 to 367 of the family's 1533-position model. Lineage: Bacteria; Pseudomonadati; Pseudomonadota; Alphaproteobacteria; Candidatus Pelagibacterales. The record is from RNAcentral.